GUGAUAAAUUUUUUCAUUAUUAAAAAAAAUUUUCAAUUAAUGAAAUAAAACAAAAAUAAACAUGUCACGGAGUGCAAAAGAGCAGUUAGGUUGCAAAAUUAAUAGAGUUGCAAUGAUGAAUAAUUAAUCGACAAACGCUGAUUUACAUUCGAUGGAACGACAAAUCUGACUAGACCACGCACUGCAAUCUGUACUCGUUUAUCCCUUCCAUAAGCGUGCUCC
This 222-nucleotide long non-coding RNA is filed under the name Cotesia glomerata. RNAcentral describes it as "uncharacterized LOC123272416, transcript variant X2". Lineage: Eukaryota; Metazoa; Arthropoda; Insecta; Hymenoptera; Braconidae. The record is from RNAcentral.